AUACGUAGGGUGCGAGCGUUGUCCGGAAUUACUGGGCGUAAAGCGCUCGUAGGUGGUUUGUCGCGUCGUCUGUGAAAUUCCGGGGCUUCACUCCGGGCGUGCAGGCGAUACGGGCAUAACUUGAGUACUGUAGGGGAGACUGGAAUUCCUGGUGUAGCGGUGAAAUGCGCAGAUAUCAGGAGGAACACCGGUGGCGAAGGCGGGUCUCUGGGCAGUAACUGACGCUGAGGAGCGAAAGCAUGGGUAGCGAACAGGAUUAGAUACCCUGGUAGUCCAUGCCGUAAACGGUGGGCGCUAGGUGUAGGGGUCUUCCACGACUUCUGUGCCGUAGCUAACGCAUUAAGCGCCCCGCCUGGGGAGUACGGCCGCAAGGCUAAAACUCAAAUGAAUUGACGGGG
Molecule: ribosomal RNA, 398 nt
Filed under: uncultured bacterium
Lineage: Bacteria
Description: partial 16S ribosomal RNA
Rfam family: Bacterial small subunit ribosomal RNA
Source: RNAcentral